GUCAAGCUGAUGAGUCCCAAAUAGGACGAAACGCACAUCCUGGAU
Molecule: non-coding RNA, 45 nt
Organism: Schistosoma haematobium
Lineage: Eukaryota; Metazoa; Platyhelminthes; Trematoda; Strigeidida; Schistosomatidae
Source: Rfam